Molecule: ribosomal RNA, 443 nt
Filed under: uncultured bacterium
Lineage: Bacteria
Description: partial 16S ribosomal RNA
Rfam family: Bacterial small subunit ribosomal RNA
Source: RNAcentral
CCUACGGGGGGCAGCAGUGGGGAAUAUUGGGCAAUGGGCGCAAGCCUGACCCAGCAACGCCGCGUGAAGGAAGAAGGCUUUCGGGUUGUAAACUUCUUUUUUUAGGGACGAAGCAAGUGACGGUACCUGAGGAAUAAGCCACGGCCAACUACGUGCCAGCAGCCGGGGUAAUACGUAGUCGGCAAGCUUCAUCAGGAUGUACUGGGUGUAAAGGGGGUGUAGGCGGGAAAGCAAGACAGAUGUGAAUACGAUGGGCUCAACCUGCGGACUGUAUUUGAAACUGUUAUCCUUGAGUGCGGUAGAGGUAGGUGGAAUUCCUAGUGUAGCGGUGAAAUGCGUAGAUAUUAGGAGGAACACCAAUGGCGAAGGCAGUCUGCUGGACAGCAACUGACACUGAGGCGCGAAAGCGUGGGGAGCAAACAGGAUUAGAUACCCGAGUAGUC